GCGAGUAGAGAGAAGCUUGCUUCUCUUGAGAGCGGCGGACGGGUGAGUAAUGCCUAGGAAUCUGCCUGGUAGUGGGGGAUAACGUUCGGAAACGGACGCUAAUACCGCAUACGUCCUACGGGAGAAAGCAGGGGACCUUCGGGCCUUGCGCUAUCAGAUGAGCCUAGGUCGGAUUAGCUAGUUGGUGAGGUAAUGGCUCACCAAGGCGACGAUCCGUAACUGGUCUGAGAGGAUGAUCAGUCACACUGGAACUGAGACACGGUCCAGACUCCUACGGGAGGCAGCAGUGGGGAAUAUUGGACAAUGGGCGAAAGCCUGAUCCAGCCAUGCCGCGUGUGUGAAGAAGGUCUUCGGAUUGUAAAGCACUUUAAGUUGGGAGGAAGGGCCAUUACCUAAUACGUGAUGGUUUUGACGUUACCGACAGAAUAAGCACCGGCUAACUCUGUGCCAGCAGCCGCGGUAAUACAGAGGGUGCAAGCGUUAAUCGGAAUUACUGGGCGUAAAGCGCGCGUAGGUGGUUCGUUAAGUUGGAUGUGAAAUCCCCGGGCUCAACCUGGGAACUGCAUUCAAAACUGUCGAGCUAGAGUAUGGUAGAGGGUGGUGGAAUUUCCUGUGUAGCGGUGAAAUGCGUAGAUAUAAGAAGGAACACCAGUGGCGAACGCGACCACCUGGACUGAUACUGACCCUGAGGUGCGAAAGCGUGGGGAGCAAACAGGAUUAGAUACCCUGGUAGUCCACGCGGUACACGAUGUCAACUAGCCGUUGGGAGCCUUGAGCUCGUAAUGGCGCACCUCACGCAUUAAGUUGACCGCCUGGGGAGUACGGCCGCAGGCCAAGCUCACAUGAAUUGUUUGUCGCCCGCACAAGCGGUGGAGCAUGUGGUUUAUUCGAACAACGCAAAGAACAUUACCACGCCUUGACAUCUAUGACUUACAGAGAGGAAUGAUGCCGUCGGGUACUUUGAGGCAGAUGCUACAUGCUGUCGUCAGCUCGAGGCGUGCCUCCUCGCCUAAGUCCUGUAUGAUGCAACCAUGUCCUACUACAGCACGUAUGCGGGGCAUCUAUGUGCCGCCCGUGAAAAUCUGACGAAGUGGGAUGAGAGAGGAGCAGACCCUUAAGACGGGCGUCACCAGUGCU
RNAcentral lists this ribosomal RNA (1137 nucleotides) under Pseudomonas sp. PGBw21. RNAcentral's name for it is "bacterial SSU rRNA". It matches the Rfam family "Bacterial small subunit ribosomal RNA", at positions 64 to 1226 of the family's 1533-position model. The record is from RNAcentral. Lineage: Bacteria; Pseudomonadati; Pseudomonadota; Gammaproteobacteria; Pseudomonadales; Pseudomonadaceae.